RNAcentral lists this ribosomal RNA (301 nucleotides) under uncultured bacterium. RNAcentral describes it as "partial 16S ribosomal RNA". It matches the Rfam family "Bacterial small subunit ribosomal RNA", at positions 509 to 807 of the family's 1533-position model. The record is from RNAcentral.
CAGUCGCCACGGGAAUACGUAGGUGGCAAGCGUUGUCCGGAAUUAUUGGGCGUAAAGGGCUCGCAGGCGGUUUCUUAAGUCUGAUGUGAAAGCCCCCGGCUCAACCGGGGAGGGUCAUUGGAAACUGGGAAACUUGAGUGCAGAAGAGGAGAGUGGAAUUCCACGUGUAGCGGUGAAAUGCGUAGAGAUGUGGAGGAACACCAGUGGCGAAGGCGACUCCCUGGUCUGUAACUGACGCUGAGGAGCGAAAACGUGGGGAGCGAACAGGAUUAGAUACCCGAGUAGUCCCUGUCUCUUAUAC